UACGUAGGUGGCAAGCGUUGUCCGGAAUUAUUGGGCGUAAAGAGCGUGUAGGCGGUUCGGUAAGUCUGCCGUGAAAACCUGGGGCUCAACCCCGGGCGUGCGGUGGAUACUGCCGGGCUAGAGGGUGGUAGAGGCGAGUGGAAUUCCCGGUGUAGCGGUGAAAUGCGCAGAUAUCGGGAGGAACACCAGUAGCGAAGGCGGCUCACUGGCCCGGUACUGACGCUGAGGUGCGAAAGCGUGGGGAGCAAACAGG
This 253-nucleotide ribosomal RNA is filed under the name uncultured bacterium. RNAcentral describes it as "partial 16S ribosomal RNA". It matches the Rfam family "Bacterial small subunit ribosomal RNA", at positions 524 to 776 of the family's 1533-position model. The record is from RNAcentral.